Molecule: ribosomal RNA, 739 nt
Filed under: Colacogloea philyla
Lineage: Eukaryota; Fungi; Basidiomycota; Microbotryomycetes; Colacogloeaceae
Description: LSU rRNA
Rfam family: Eukaryotic large subunit ribosomal RNA
Source: RNAcentral
AAUCUUGAGGUAGAAGCUUCUAACUCCCUCUGAAGUCAACUUCUAAGAUUAGACCUCAGAUCAGGCAGGACUACCCGCUGAACUUAAGCAUAUCAAUAAGCGGAGGAAAAGAAACUAACAAGGAUUCCCCUAGUAGCGGCGAGCGAAGCGGGAAGAGCUCAAAUUUGUAAUCUGGCACCUUCGGUGUCCGAGUUGUAAUCUCGAGAAGUGUUUUCCGCGCCAGACCGCAUAUAAGUCUGUUGGAAUACAGCGUCAUAGGUGGUGACAACCCCGUACAUGAUGCGGAUGCCUGGUGCUCUGUGAUACACUUUCGAAGAGUCGAGUUGUUUGGGAAUGCAGCUCAAAUUGGGUGGUAAAUUCCAUCUAAAGCUAAAUAUUGGCGAGAGACCGAUAGCGAACAAGUACCGUGAGGGAAAGAUGAAAAGCACUUUGGAAAGAGAGUUAAAAGUACGUGAAAUUGUUGAAAGGGAAACGCUUGAAGUCAGACUUGCGUAUUGGAGUUCAGCCGCAAGGUGUAUUCUUCAGUUUGCAGGCCAGCAUCAGUUUUUGGGGGUACAAAAGGGUGAGAGGAAGGUAGCAGUCUCGGCUGUGUUAUAGCCUCUCACUGGAUGUAUCCUUGGGGACUGAGGAACGCAGCGCACUUUUUGCAAGCCUCUCGAGGCUUUUUGCGCUUAGGAUGCUGGUGGAAUGGCUUUAAACGACCCGUCUUGAAACACGGACCAAGGAGUCUAACAUGCUU